GUUACCGACAGAAUAAGCACCGGCUAACUCUGUGCCAGCAGCCGCGGUAAUUCCAGCUCCAAUAGUGUAUACUAAAGUUGCUGCAGUUAAAAAGCUCGUAGUUGGAAUUCGGUUAAUGAAUUGAUAGUCUAUAUUUUAUAUAUACGCACUGUUAAUUCAUUUCCUUUUUUUUAGGUUUAACCACUUUUAGUGAUUUUCCUAAAUAUUUUACUUUGAGAAAAUUAGAGUGUUCAAAGCAGGCGUAACUAAGCCUUUGAAUAUAUUAGCAUGGGAUAAUGAAAUAAGACUUUUUGCCUUAUUCUCGUUGGUUCAUAGGGCUAAAGUAAUGAUUAAUAGGGAUAGUUGGGGUCAUUAGUAUUUAAUUGUCAGAGGUGAAAUUCUAAGAUUUAUUAAAGACUAACUACUGCGAAAGCAUUUGACAAGGAUGUUUUCAUUAAUCAAGAACGAAAGUUGGGGGAUCGAAGAUGAUCAGAUACCGUCGUAGUCUCAACCAUAAACUAUGCCGACCAAGGAUUCGGGGGUGUUAAAUGAAUGACUCUCCGGGCACUUAUAGAGAAAUCAUAAGUAUUUGGGUUCCGGGGGGAGUAUGGUCGCAAGGCUGAAACUUAAAGGAAUUGACGGAAGGGCACCACCAGGAGUGGAACUUGCGGUUUAAUUUGACCCAACACGGGGAAACUUACCAGGUCCAGACACAGUAAGGAUUGACAGAUUGAGAGCUCUUUCUUGAUUUUGUGGGUGGUGGUGCAUGGCCGUUUCUAGUUGGUGGAGUGAUUUGUCUGGUUAAUUCCGUUAACGAACGAGACCUUAACCUAUUAAAUAGUAAUACGAACUUGUACUCUUUUGUACAAUUUGUUUGUAAAUGACUUCUUAGAGGGACUCUUCACAUACAGAGUGAAUGGAAGUUUGAGGCAAAAACAGGUCUGUGAUGCCCUUAGAUGUUCUGGGCCGCACGCGCGCUACACUGAUACGUUCAUCGAGCUUACAACCUUGACCGAGAGGUCUGGGUAAUCUUUUUAAAGCGUAUCGUGCUGGGGAUAGAUUAUUGUAAUUAUUAAUCUUCAACGAGGAAUUCCUAGUAAGCGCUAGUCAUCAACUCGCACUGAUUACGUCCCUGCCCUUUGUACACACCGCCCGUCGCUGCUACCGAUUGAAUGCAUUAGUGAGCCACAGGGAUUGUGGCACUUAACCGGGGCAACUCGGUUCUGUGUUGUGAGAACUGGUGCAAACUUGCGCAUUUAGAGGAAGCAAAAGUCGUAACGAGGU
Molecule: ribosomal RNA, 1263 nt
Filed under: metagenome
Description: SSU rRNA
Rfam family: Eukaryotic small subunit ribosomal RNA
Source: RNAcentral